RNAcentral lists this ribosomal RNA (256 nucleotides) under uncultured bacterium. Its description in RNAcentral is "partial 16S ribosomal RNA". It matches the Rfam family "Bacterial small subunit ribosomal RNA", at positions 333 to 581 of the family's 1533-position model. The record is from RNAcentral.
UGUGUCCUACGGGGGGCAGCAGUAGGGAAUCUUCCACAAUGGACGAAAGUCUGAUGGAGCAACGCCGCGUGAGUGAAGAAGGGUUUCGGCUCGUAAAGCUCUGUUGGUAGUGAAGAAAGAUAGAGGUAGUAACUGGCCUUUAUUUGACGGUAAUUACUUAGAAAGUCACGGCUAACUACGUGCCAGCAGCCGCGGUAAUACGUAGGGUGCAAGCGUUAUCCGGAUUUAUUGGGCGUAAAGGGCUCGUAGGCGGUUC